GACGAACGCUGGCGGCGUGCUUAACACAUGCAAGUCGAACGGAAAGGCCCUGCUUUUGUGGGGUGCUCGAGUGGCGAACGGGUGAGUAACACGUGAGUAACCUGCCCUUGACUUUGGGAUAACUUCAGGAAACUGGGGCUAAUACAGGAUAGGAGCUCCUGCUGCAUGGUGGGGGUUGGAAAGUUUCGGCGGUUGGGGAUGGACUCGCGGCUUAUCAGCUUGUUGGUGGGGUAGUGGCUUACCAAGGCUUUGACGGGUAGCCGGCCUGAGAGGGUGACCGGCCACAGUGGGACUGAGAUACGGCCCAGACUCCUACGGGAGGCAGCAGUGGGGAAUAUUGCACAAUGGGCGGAAGCCUGAUGCAGCAACGCCGCGUGCGGGAUGACGGCCUUCGGGUUGUAAACCGCUUUCGCCUGUGACGAAGCGUGAGUGACGGUAAUGGGUAAAGAAGCACCGGCUAACUACGUG
RNAcentral lists this ribosomal RNA (468 nucleotides) under uncultured bacterium. Its description in RNAcentral is "partial 16S ribosomal RNA". It matches the Rfam family "Bacterial small subunit ribosomal RNA", at positions 28 to 507 of the family's 1533-position model. The record is from RNAcentral.